Molecule: unclassified non-coding RNA, 282 nt
Filed under: plant metagenome
Description: partial contains small subunit ribosomal RNA, internal transcribed spacer 1, and 5.8S ribosomal RNA
Rfam family: 5.8S ribosomal RNA (bases 234-282)
Source: RNAcentral
UCUCCGUUGGUGAACCAGCGGAGGGAUCAUUACCGAGUUUACAACUCCCAAACCCCUAUGUGAACGUUACCAAACUGUUGCCUCGGCGGGAAAUUCAUGCCCCGGGCGCGUCGCAGCCCCGGACCAAGGAGCCCGCCGGAGGACCAACCAAAACUCUUUUGUAUGUCCCUCGCGGACUUUUAUAAUUCUGAACCAUCUCGGCGCCCCUAGCGGGCGUUUCGAAAAUGAAUCAAAACUUUCAACAACGGAUCUCUUGGUUCUGACAUCGAUGAAGAACGCAGC